Molecule: long non-coding RNA, 414 nt
Organism: Eptesicus fuscus (big brown bat)
Lineage: Eukaryota; Metazoa; Chordata; Mammalia; Chiroptera; Vespertilionidae
Exons: 2
Source: RefSeq, a predicted model, not a curated record
AAGUGCUAUAGCACGUUACAGCAGUUUCCAUGGCUCAGGUUGGAAAUUGCACCGUCCUGAAAAUUCCUGCUGGCCUCCAAACCAUUGCUCGCAGAGGAUGCCCCACGUUCCAGUGUUUCCCAUCAAGCAUCUCUGUCACCUGAGGUCGGUGAGAAGCCAGAGCCUCAGUGACCACACCCCCGACCUUCCACCACCAGAAUCUACCAGGACCGAGAAGGAGGGCAGCCUGCCAGCUCUCGCCUUUUCUCACCACCUGCCACCAACCUGGGGCCAGAUCUGUGCAGCUUCCCUCUCAGCCCGUGCCCUGAACUCCCUCCACGGCGUCCCCCAAAACAACUUGGGCUGUCAGGGUAUUUCACACCAGUUCAUUUCAUACUUCAUUGACUCUAUUAAACGAGGAAGAUAAGACUUCCA